GGGUCGUUAGCUCAGCUGGUAGAGCAGUUGACUUUUUAAUCAAUUGGUCGCAGGUUCGAAUCCUGCACGACCCA
This 74-nucleotide transfer RNA is filed under the name Serratia symbiotica str. 'Cinara cedri'. RNAcentral describes it as "tRNA-Lys (TTT) (tRNA-Lys-TTT-1-1)". It matches the Rfam family "tRNA". Rfam says of the family: Transfer RNA (tRNA) molecules are approximately 80 nucleotides in length. Their secondary structure includes four short double-helical elements and three loops (D, anti-codon, and T loops). Lineage: Bacteria; Pseudomonadati; Pseudomonadota; Gammaproteobacteria; Enterobacterales; Yersiniaceae. The record is from RNAcentral.